CUGCUUUCCCAGCUGGCUGGACAGGAAGCCCUGGCCCCCACCUUCCUUUCCUUGGAGACCAUGGUGUCCCUGCUGGGGAGGCUUCUCCACACCGGAGCCUGCUUCCACGGCUUACUAGCUGUGUGUCCCUCGGUGUCCGCCCUGCAAAGUGGGGAUGGCAGGUAGCACCCCCACGUCACCCACGGUGCUGGGAUGUGUCCGGUGACCUCCUCACCCUUCUCCGGCUGCUCCUCCCCUCCUAGCCUGACUCCUCUCUAGCCUGCCACAGGCCUUGGCUUCCCCAGCCCAGGGCCGGCCCUGGUAUUUGGGGUGGGAUAGGCCAUACGUUCUGGGGGGUGGUGCGCACUGGUUCCAGGCAGCCCCUGGGGAGUAGGCAGGGAGCCCCACAGGGUGCUUCUGGGUCACAGAUCCUCCAGGACCCUGGUCAGGCCUCCAGGGUAUGGACCCAGGAUCUCGGCAGCCUCCACUCCCAAGAGUGCCAGGAAGCCUGUCCUCCCCCCUCAUGCUGCUUCCACCUGGAUGGGAAGGGGUUACUCAGCUCCAGGGCUGCCCACUGCAGGCCGCAGCUGCCUGGGGCCUGUGGUCAGGGCUAAUGUAGGCAGGAGUUGGAGGACAAGAGGGGAUGAAGUUAUUAGCAUUCUCAUGUUUGAGGGAUAUUGAUUGUCAGGUCUUCAGGCCCCUGGGUCUCGCAACGGGGCACACGGGAGUGUUAGAGGGACACAGGAAGUGUCACAGAGGCCCCACCCCGUACCCGGGAGUGACUGGGGCUGCCCAGGUCAGCUCAAAGGGAGACACGGAGGGACGCAGCUUGGGGGGCCAGGGACCCGGGGCGGGGAGGGGCUGGGCUCGGUGCCCUGGGCCUGGGGCAGACUGGAAAGGGCUUGGUUUCGUCCCUGCACUUUGCAUAAGGUGUGAGGGUCUGUGAGUGUGUGUGUGACACAGACCUCGCAGCUGAGCCGGAGCCCGUCAAGGGGGCAACCAAAGGGGACAAGGAGGAGUCCCCAGCCUGAGGCCCACAGGACCCCGCUGAUUUCCGACCUCGCGCGGAGGCAGGCUGCGCCCAGACGGGAUUCGGGGCGAUACCGCCCCGCGUCGCAAGGGGGCGCUGGGGAGCCUAGCAAGGAGGAGGGGCCGGAGCGCUCCUGGGCUGGGUCAGGAGCCCGCUCCUUCGCCCCAGAGGAGCUGGCUUCCCCUCCGCAGGGUGGAAGAGGAGGGUCUGGCUCUGUAGUUUAGGCUGACCUCAAACCCUCCAGCCUCCUGCCUCAGCCUCCUGAGUGCUGGGACUUCAGACACACGCAGCACAACCAGCUCCAGCGGGGCGUUCCUGCUCCUCAGGGCCAAGGCGCAGGCUGUGUCGGGGCGUCCGCAGCCUGAGCCCUGGAGUCAGCAGACCUGCUCACUGCACGGACGCCUGCUCAACGCGAGUGAACGGGGACAAGGACGGAC
This 1446-nucleotide long non-coding RNA is filed under the name Heterocephalus glaber (naked mole-rat). RNAcentral describes it as "lncRNA (ENSHGLG00000048764.1)". The record is from RNAcentral. Lineage: Eukaryota; Metazoa; Chordata; Mammalia; Rodentia; Bathyergidae.